AUCUGUGAAAAGAACAAGGAAGAAAGAUUCAGCUUGACACACACCCCAGCUGUCUCUGUAAGAACAAGAGCUGUUUACUUAGGUGCUCCUUGGCCAGGAUGGUAUUGACUGUGCAGCUGCCCAGGCAUCACCACCUCCCUGGGCAGGACUUGAAGGCUGGCAGUCAGAUCCCAUGACCCCUGCAUCUCACUCCAAGAGGUCCACUGGCAGUUCAAAACCCUUCUUGACUCUCAGAAGGGUCAUGCCUUCAACCUUUCUACCCAAGACUUAACGACUAAUGCUGGGCAGGUAACAUUCCAGAUGUCUCACCACCUAGUCCCCCCUUCAGUGGUCUGUCACUCAAAGGACACGUUUAGUGACAUCUAUGCUCAUCUUGAAAAAGGAAUACUCUGAAACUAUGCUUUAAAAAAGUAUAUACAUAGAAAGUAAUACUUGGGGGUAGUAUAUUUUUUCUACUUAUACUUUUUUGCCCAUAUAGGAAAACUUCAAAAAAGAUAAUAUGAUUUUCUGGGCUACACAAUAGCAUGUACUAUAUGAUACUAUUUUUGAAAAUAUUGAUUAUACCUACAACAGAAAACAUCUUUGGAAGGACAUAUCAGAUUUUUGCUGAGAACAAUGUGGAUAGUGAGUGACCGGUAAGGAGAGAUUUUUACUUUAAAAAAUGUAUUUGUGUAUUCUUUUGUUUCAAACAAUACAGAAAUAAGUAUAAAUAUCUACUUUCUGAACAGUGAGCAGGUUCUCUCAGUAUUUCCAUCCUUUGACCAAUCUCUGCUUUGCUUUAGGUCUCCCAUAUUCCUGGCUUCCAGACUCCACUGGAGAAAGGAUGAAUGAAGAGGAAGCUGCAGGCUGUGAAGUGUCUAAUCCUUGCUCCCCUCCGAAACUGGCACAUGUUGGACCAAGCACUAUCCCCAUUUCACAGAUGAAGAAACUGAGGCAGCCAGAGAGAAGUGAAGUAGCUUGCCAAAAUAGUAAAACUAUAUUAUAAAUCAUAAACCCAAAUGCCACGCUCUAUUAUCCCAGUUUCCCAGAAGCUGGACAAGCCACGACAGCACCAUCCAAUAAAAAGGGAACUCUGGAGAUGCUAUGAGAAAAGAGGAACAGACAUCUGCAAUAGAUAUCUGCAACUUCCUUUUCAAAAACAAUAUCAGCAUUGGUUUCUCAGGAAGCCAUUGCCAGCCAAAUGUGAUAGCUGACACUGAGUUCCUGAAAUUCUCUAAUUAGGAUCCCAGAUUGGAGGGUCAGCCAGUGGUUAACAUAUAAUUGGCACAAAACUGAUUUUAUUGGAAGACUGAGGGUGGGCACUCACCAUGGUUCUAAGCGUUAGAAAAUCCACAAAAAUAUUACAAUUCUGUUGUGUAUGAGUUUAGGAAAAAAGGAAAAUCCUGACAAAAUCCCAGCCUAAAAAACAACGUUAACACUUGCAAAUAGGAUGGGGAGGCAGAGAUGAAUUGGCAGCCUUAUCACAGCUACUGGACUAUGCGGACUUUAACAAAAUAUGGGGGUGGGGGUUGGGUAGUGGUGUUUUUAACAGAGCAGGAGUAGAGACGGAUGUCCUGGGAGCAGAAUGGAUGCCCAUGCUGCCUGGAGCCUCAAGAUGGGAGCUGAGGACUAACAGGAUACAGGAGGGUGGGGACCUAUGCCUUUUCCAAGAAACUAGUGCCCCAAAACUGGUAAGCUGGGGUAUGCAUUUAGCUCAUUCCUUUACCAGAAUGCAGUCACCACCCGAUGAAAGAAAUGACUGAUGGCAGGACUUGAACAGUUCUCUAUAAAUGAGUUCCUGGGAGAGAACAGGUCUCCAGGCUCCACAAUACCCACCAAACACACUGCCUUUAGCCUGUUUCAAACUCUACUUCUUAUACAGAAUCCAACCCAACCAAACUCAGAGGUAAGGGUGAGAGUAGGCAAUGAACAGCUAUGAUCCUCCAUUCCUUGGCCAGGCAGGGAGCCUUUCCAUCCUCUUCCAUGAAACUGCGUGUAACAGAAAUAAGAAAACCAACUCCAAGGCUCAGUAACCCACCCAAGGUCAGAACCACUGAGUGGCAGAACCUGUGAGCCACAAAGGAGACUGAAAACCAGAAAGAGCUGCUCUCUAGUCUGCAUUAUUUUAAGAACAACAUGCCCAUAGGAGCAACCUGGAACCAAGGCUGUGGUACAACCUGGACUCAGCACACUCACCUUCCUUUCUAAUUAAACAUCAGCUUCCCAGGAGCAACAAUAGCCUGGCCCAGCAGAUGAACUGGAAUCAAUCUAAGCUUUUCCCCUAUGCCAGGCGUGGUGUGGGGUAGGGAUUUGGGUCAGUUUGGGCCCUUACACCUACUUAGUUUGGGCACCACUGCACCUGCUGUGAAGUCUAUUGGCAUCUUCCAGGAAAGUCCUACCUCAUUAGUAAAAAGAAAAAGACUUGGGAAGAAAGUUCCUGCUCUACCUGGUGAAUGCUGUUGUAUGAGGAUAUCAUGUUUGGAACAUGCCAGUCACCCUGUGAUCACAAGAAGGCCAGGCAUACCACAAGAUGGUCAUUCCAGUGCUCUGAAUCAGCCCCAAACCACUUCCCUCAAAACUCACGUUCUAAAGUGAUUAAAAGUGUGCUUUGAAGGUAAAACCAGUGACAGUCAACAGAUCAGUGACUGCCAGGAGUCAAGGGUAGAGGGAGGGAAGAACAGAUGGAGCACAGAGAAUUUUUAGGGCAGUGAAAAUGUUCUGUAUGAUGCUAUAAUGAAUACAUGCCAUCAUACACUUGUCCAAACCCACAGAAUGUACACCACCAAGAGUGAACCCUAAACUAUGGACUUUGGGUGAUCAUGAUGUGUCAGUGCAGGUUCAUCAAUUGCAACAAAUGUACCAUUCUAGUUGGGGAUGUUGAUAAUAGAAGGCUAUGCAUAUGUGGGACCAGGGGAUAUAUGGGAAAUCUCUGUAUUUGCCUUCAAGUAUGCUGAUAAUCUAAAACUGCUCUUAAAAAUAGUCUUACAAAAAAAAGGAAGUCUGCUUUGCCUUAUGUUGGGUCUUCAGUUGCCUCCAGCCAAACACAACUGGCAUGAGGUAAACCUUUAUUUGACAUUUAGUGAGCACGCCACAAUGCAGUGCUGCCACAAGAGGACCAACAAAGAAAUGGAACUCAACAACCAAAACCAUAAACAGAUAUCCCUGAUCUGCGACAAUGGGACCAGUAUCUUAUGUCAGGACCCGGUACACGUAACCACAUUUUGUGUAUAAACAAAAUAAAAUUUACAUGUAAGUUACA
Molecule: long non-coding RNA, 3238 nt
Organism: Sapajus apella (tufted capuchin)
Lineage: Eukaryota; Metazoa; Chordata; Mammalia; Primates; Cebidae
Exons: 2
Source: RefSeq, a predicted model, not a curated record